AAAUUUCGCACCCACUCAACGAGCUUACAUCCUCCCAGAACAGAAGUUUGGAGGGGAGCAUGAAAGAAACAGAAGUCAGGCGAUUUAUCAGAAUGAGACAGGCAUGUAUAGCGCGGAGUUCAGCCUUCAGUCCAUCUGCAGCGCUCCUUCUGAGGUGUUACUCCCGUGUUAGUGAACUGCUGCUCCUCAAGUGGCUCCGCUGGAGGGUUCUGGCCCCGAUGACUCAUGCCAUCUGUUAACAGCUCUUGUACGAUCACAUUUCUGUGUUCCUUCCAAUAAACAGAAAGCUCCAGUGAUUUUGCAGCGUUGUUUUGACGAUCCAGAGAAACACUCAGAAGAACCUACAGAAGGAGUACUACCACCAAUGUCCAAAACAUUACAAAGAUUAAUUUACAAACAAGGCACAAUUCGACGUGGGAUUUUCAGAAAGACUAUAUUGGAUCCAACAGUAAUGUCACAACACACAAGUGUGAGUAACUGUUUUUAUUAUGUGGUCACUAUUGCUUUGUCUCUUCUUACAGAUCGCUUGAUAUGUACUGAGUAUUUAUGCGUUCAAACAUACACAACUGUUAGCCAAUCAUAG
This is a long non-coding RNA of Cyprinus carpio (common carp), 583 nucleotides long. The record is from Ensembl. Lineage: Eukaryota; Metazoa; Chordata; Actinopteri; Cypriniformes; Cyprinidae.